This is an RNA transcript of Mustela erminea (ermine), 9810 nucleotides long. It is a transcript of the gene named slingshot protein phosphatase 2, with no coding region annotated. The record is from RefSeq and is a predicted model, not a curated record. NCBI's taxonomy places the organism in Eukaryota, Metazoa, Chordata, Mammalia, Carnivora, Mustelidae. The transcript has 15 exons.
UUGUUUCUGUAGUUAUCUGAUCCUUACAUAGAGGAAAUAGCCUUAAAAAGUAGAAUGUCUUUUAAAAGAUGAUCAAAUAAGUUUAUAUCAGUGAAUCUUGUAGGUGUUAGGGCCUUCAAAUAUGAAGAGAAUGUUAAUGAUCUGUUGCCAGAGUAUAAAGGUACAUUAUGUUUUCAUUAUUGGUGAUAACUUUAUGUGGUUUUUAUCCACACUUGUAUUUGUUUGGAGUCAGAGCAGUCAUUGGCUUGGAGCCAAGGAGGAAAAAAAAGAACUCUCAACUUUGGCCUUAUUGGAACGAUAUUUAACCAAGUUAACUGAAGAGUAAAUCUGCACAAUGAAGAUGAACAGGAAUGGUGAAGUUGUGAUAUCUUCACAUCAGACUUUCUUUUUGAUUAACCUAGAGUGGAUUUUUUUCCCCUUAAAUUACUACAUUUUAGCUUGUGUGCUUAUGUGUAAUCACUCCUAAAAUUGAGCAAUUUCUUUAGACGAGUACUGAGAAACCACUGCCCAAAGCUAAAUAAUUAAGGAUGUUUUCGUUCUCUGUUUCCAAGAGCUGUUGGUUGGACCUUGGAGUAAUAGAGGGGUCCAAACUCUUCAUAUCAUGUUGCUCACAUCUCUUCUUGGGUGUCUCCCGUAAAUCAUCAGCGAGAGCUUUCUAACUGUCAAAGGUGCUGCCCUUUUUCUGCCACGGGGAAAUGGCUCAUCCACACCAAGAAUUAGCCACAGACGCAACAAGCAUGCAGGUGAUCUCCAACAGCAUCUCCAAGCAAUGUUCAUAUUACUCCGCCCAGAAGAUAACAUCAGGCUGGCUGUAAGACUAGAAAGUACUUACCAGAACAGAACACGCUAUAUGGUAGUGGUUUCAACCAAUGGUAGACAAGACACUGAAGAAAGCAUCGUCCUGGGAAUGGAUUUCUCUUCUAAUGACAGUAGCACUUGUACCAUGGGCUUAGUCCUGCCUCUCUGGAGUGAUACCCUAAUUCAUUUGGAUGGUGAUGGUGGGUUCAGUGUAUCAACGGAUAACAGAGUGCACAUAUUCAAACCUGUAUCUGUACAGGCAAUGUGGUCUGCACUACAGAGUUUACACAAGGCUUGUGAAGUAGCCAGAAUGCAUAACUACUACCCAGGCAGCCUGUUUCUCACCUGGGUGAGUUAUUACGAGAGCCACAUCAACUCAGAUCAGUCAUCAGUCAAUGAAUGGAAUGCUAUGCAGGAUGUGCAGUCCCACCGGCCUGACUCUCCAGCUCUCUUCACAGACAUACCAACUGAACGUGAGCGAACAGAGAGAUUAAUUAAAACCAAAUUAAGGGAGAUAAUGAUGCAGAAGGAUUUGGAGAAUAUCACAUCCAAAGAGAUACGAACUGAGUUGGAAAUGCAAAUGGUGUGCAACUUACGAGAAUUCAAGGAAUUUAUAGAUAAUGAAAUGAUAGUGAUCCUUGGUCAAAUGGAUAGCCCUACCCAGAUAUUUGAGCACGUUUUCUUGGGCUCAGAAUGGAAUGCCUCUAAUCUAGAGGAUUUACAGAACCGAGGGGUGCGGUAUAUCCUGAAUGUCACUCGAGAGAUAGAUAACUUCUUCCCAGGAGUCUUUGAGUAUCAUAACAUCCGAGUAUAUGAUGAAGAAGCAACAGAUCUACUGGCUUACUGGAAUGACACUUACAAAUUCAUCUCUAAAGCAAAGAAACAUGGAUCUAAAUGCCUUGUGCACUGCAAAAUGGGGGUGAGUCGCUCAGCCUCCACUGUGAUUGCCUAUGCAAUGAAGGAAUAUGGCUGGAAUCUGGACCGGGCCUAUGACUACGUGAAGGAAAGGCGAACAGUGACCAAGCCCAACCCCAGCUUCAUGAGACAGCUGGAAGAGUACCAGGGGAUCUUGCUGGCAAGCAAACAGCGACAUAACAAGCUCUGGAGAUCUCAUUCAGAUAGCGACCUCUCAGACCACCAUGAACCCAUCUGCAAACCAGGGCUAGAACUCAACAAGAAGGAGAUCACCACCUCAGCAGACCAGAUUGCCGAGGUGAAGACCAUGGAGAAUCACCCACCCAUACCUCCCGUCUUUGUGGAACACGUCGUCCCACAAGAUGAAAAUCAGAAGGGCCUAUGUACCAAAGAAAGAAUGAUCUGCUUGGAGUUUACUUCUAGGGAAUUUCAUGCUGGACAGAUUGAAGAUGAAUUAAACCUAAAUGACAUCAAUGGAUGCUCAUCAGGGUGUUGUCUCAAUGAAUCAAAAUUCCCUCUUGACAACUGCCAUGCAUCCAAAGCCUUAAUCCAACCUGGACAGGCCCCAGAAAUUGCCAACAAGUUCUCAGACUUAACGGUAGAAGAUCUGGAGACAGAUGCCCUGAAAGCAGAUGUGAACGUGCACUUACUGCCUCUGGAAGAAUUAACAUCUCGCCUGAAGGACCUUCCCAUGUCCCCUGAUCCUGAAUCACCGAGUCCCCAACCCAGUUGCCAGGCUGAAGUCUCAGAUUUCAGUACGGAUCGCAUUGAUUUUUUUAGCGCCCUGGAAAAGUUUGUAGAGCUUUCCCAAGAAACCCGGUCCCGAUCUUUUUCCCACUCAAGGAUGGAAGAACUGGGUGGAGGAAGGAGUGAGAGCUGUCGACUGUCAGUGAUGGAAGUAGCCCCUUCCGAAGGGACAGCUGAUGACCAGAGAAGCAGCUCUUUGAGUAAUACCCCCCAUGCAUCUGAAGAAUCUUCAAUAGAUGAGGAACAGUCAAAGGCAAUCUCAGAACUGGUCAGCCCAGACAUCUUCAUGCAAUCUCAGUCAGAAAAUGCAAUUUCAGUCAAAGAAAUCGUUACUGAGAUUGAAUCUAUCAGUCAAGGAGUCGGACAGAUUCAACUGAAAGGAGACAUCCUGUCUAACCCAUGCCAUACACCAAAGAAGCAUACCAUCCAUGAGCUGCCCCUUGAGAGAGCCCAGGCCCUGGAGAACAAACCUGGAAAUCUGGAGCAAAGUGAGGGUUCCUACACAGCCCAGCCUGAACUAGCCAAAGACUCAGGGAAGUGGGACCUAGAAGGCUGCCUAACCACACACUCAUCAACUGCAGAGCUGGAAGACGAGGAACCAGCUGAGGAGGAACAAGAACUUUGGGGCCCUGGAAUGCACCCAGGUGCCAAGUGGUACCCUGGGUCCGUGAGGCGAGCCACCUUGGAGUUUGAAGAGCGCUUGCGACAGGAGCAAGAGCACCAUGGUGCCGCGGCUGGUUGUGCCUCAUUGUCCAUUCGCAAGAAUUCCAAGAAUGAUUUCUCUGUGGCAGACCUAGCACCAAAAGGGAAGAGUGAUGAAGCUAGCCUUGAACUUUGUUUUGUCCCCAAGGAACCAGAGAUUAACAAGGGCAAAGGGAAGUGCGGUGGGUCCGAAGCUGGCUCACUACCCCAGUCUGAGCAAGUAGCCAUUGGUCCAGCACCUGAGCUGCUGCCGUUUCAAGAGCGCCCAGGGUCAGACACUAGAACAAAGCAGGAAGGAGUCCUGAAGGAGCAGAGGACUGUGGUUUCGUGCCAGGGCUCUGAGACACAGGCAGCCCCUCUCUCACUUCCCAAGAAGGUGGAAAUCAUUGAGUAUCCCCACGCGGUUCCAUCCCCCAAUCACCCUGGGCCAGGGGGUGAAAGAGCCACCAGCAUAAAGAGUGGGGAGCAGGGACUGAGGAAAGCGAAAGUAGAGGACUCCGUCCCCAUCCUCUGUGCACUGGAUGAAAAUCUGAACAGGACUCUGGGCCCCACCCAGGCUCCUCUGCACCCCAACGUGCUACCUCUGCCUCAUUCUUCCCCUCCUGAGCACGACAGUCCCACUGACCUGACCUCCACCCUGAGCAGCCCUGAAGCCUGGGAUGACAGCCUCUCGACAGCCCGGCAAACAGGAGCACCUUUUGUCAGUCACACAACCCAUGUACCAUCUGCCAACUUGGAUCACGCACAUCCCCAGACUGUAGUUCACCUGGAAGGCUUCACAGAGCAAAGCAGCACCACAGACAACGAGCCCUCUUCAGAGCAGGGUAGCUGGGAAGAAAGUCAGGAGGGCCCCUUUUCCAGUGGCAAUGAAAUGCCAUACGAGGACUCCCAGUUAACUAGAGAAGACCUAAGCCAACUCGGUGACAAUAUUGAGGAGUUACAAGAAAAACCGGACCCACUUCCUAUAGCCUGUCAACUCCCACACAGCUCUAGUGGUGACAGCAUAAAGGGUCUCAGCCAUAGCCCUGGUGUGGUGAAGGAGCGCACUAAAGCAAUCGAGUCCCGAGCGAUUUGCCAGGGAGGGCUCACCAAACCAUCCCAAAUGAGGCAUUCAGCUUCCCUCGCCAAGUUAGGUUACUUGGACCUCUGUAAAGACUGUUUAUCGGACAGAGAGCCUCUCUCCUCUGAUCCCCCUCAUCUCAAACUGCUUCAGCCCUUCAACAGAACGGACACAGGCAUGCAUGCCAGGGAGGCCCGGGAGCCCUCAGAAAACCCAGAUGCCCCCCAGAACCUAGAGCCCACCAAGUAUUUUAUAGAACAGCUCAAAACAACAGAGUGUAUCGCGCAGAGCAAGCCAGUGGAGAAGCCCAUCGUACAGUAUGCCAAAGAAUUUGGUUACAGUCAGCAGUGUUUGCUCCCCAGGGCAGGACCCGAAUUGACUAGUUCUGAAGGAGGCCUUCCUUUGCCACAACCCCAGGGACUGCCGCGUUCAGGCCCCGCUCCAGGGCUGGCUGUGGCGCCCCGUCAGCAGCACGGCCGAACUCACCCCCUUAGGAGACUUAAAAAAGCAAAUGAUAAAAAACGGACAACCAACCCCUUCUAUAAUACCAUGUGAUUCUGAGCCUAUACGUGUGACUUUCUGAAAGAAAUGUUUGUAAAAGGGGCAGGUGUAAUAUGUAAGGAACAUGCACUUUAUGGGUUAAUUUUAUAAUAUUUUGGUCAUUUUACUGUUCCUGGCGCAUGCAGGGUUUGGGUUGGUUUUUUUCCCCCUCUGUGUAUGUGUGCGUGAAAGAGAAAAAGAGAGAUUGAUUCAGACAGCAAGACCAUUUUAGCAUUUUUUUAUUUUUAGAAAAAUUCAAACCUCAAAAAAAUACUCAUUUUCAAAGAGUACCUUUAUCAAAGGCAAAUUGCUGUUUUUCAAUCAGCUCCCACCUGCUCCUCAUUUGCCCUCUGAGAAAAAGCUUGCUUGCUUGCUUGCUUGAGGAAGGAAGCAGCUGGGGAGGGUGGGGAUGAAGCUGGAAAUCGGAAAUGCUCCCCUGGGCCUGUGUGAUGAUGGUUUGGGCUUCAGACCUGAUGCAUGGGAUUGAGCUGAAGGGCCGCUGCAAGUCCACGUGCUCUCAGCCUUGGGCCCACUGAGAGUUCCCAAGGUGGGCAGGUUCUGCUUUGCUCUCAAAGUGGGGGGUCUUCCAGAAGCCACUGCUUCUGGAUUCCUGAGUCCAUCAUUACCGAAAGGCAGGAUAAUGGCUGGCUUUGUAAACUUACCAAGCAAAUAGGUCCCCCCGCCCCCCGCCACCCAGCACAUGAUUUUUAAAUUAAAAGGGAACCUCAAAUGAAAUCUGAGAGAUCUGUGUGGAGGAAAGCAUAUGAGGAGGAGGAGGAGGUGAAGUCUGCAGAGGCUGCUGCCCGGUAUCUUCCGGGUCAGUAUCUUCCUCCACAUGGGCUGUCACCCUGGCCCUCCCUGCCAGGAAAUGUGCUCUGUAACAUCCUUUCAACUAAAACAGAAUAGGGACAAGUUUGAAAAACAGCAAUUGAAAGUCAGUGUGUUCUUGUAAAAUGACUAUGUACGUAGGGUUUUAACACUUCCAUUACUUGAAUAAUUCUGUGGGCCUUCUGAGUUUAAUGGCCAUAUAUUUUUCCAAUUUACUUUUCUCCCUCAUGCUGUUUCUCCCAGUGCUGCCCUUUUUUUUUAAAUUUCAUAGAUGAUAUUUGAAUUGUUACAUUACCUAUGUAUAACCUCCAUUGAACGCGAAGUUUUCUUACCGAUGUUAUCACUGUUAACACUUGACAUGGGUUGUUGUGUUUUGUUUUUUUUUUUUUCUGGAAGAUAUGUCAUUUCUCUAGUUUAUACACAGUAUUUAUGUACAUAAUGUCACUUUCUUACAGUGUUUUGUUGUUGAUGUCGUAGGAUCUUUUUGAUUUAAUCUUUUUAAGAAGGAUAAAGCUGCAACUGGAGAAAACAGACACCACAGAAAUAAAACUGAUGGGUGCUGGUAGGAAUCUGCAGAGUAUAUCGAUGGUGGUUUUAAUUGUUAAGAUGGAGACUUCUGAUCGCCAGCUGCUGCCAAAUUAUGUGUUAGUAACUUCCUCCUCAGAGAAACCCCUGAAGGCUCCCAUUAGAUCACAGUUUGACUGAAAGCUGAUUUCUCUUUGAGACUGAAAUCCCAGAGCGGGUUGUUUGCCAGGAGCUGAACCACAGCCAGGGAGUGUAUGUGAGUGAUACCGCUGCCCAGGGCGGAAGCUUCCGAUGGAGUGGGCUGCAGGGUUCAUGGGCAGGCAGGCCCCCCCACCGAGGGCAGGCACCCACUAUUGACUCCACUUAGGAUGCUUUUGCUUCGUUACUGUUGUGGAGCUCCUUGCCAUUAACAAGCCUGUUUGGGCUUCUUACAGAAACCAUUUAGCCUGGAAUGAAAUGCCUUCUGCAGCUCAUCAAAACUGAAGAGGUUUGCAAAUUUGCUUCCUGUUUGCUUUGGUUGAUGUCCACGUGGCUGAGAAGUUGACCAAGUACAGACUUGGGCUUUGGUUUUUGGCUCAUCACGGCACUGAGAGGAAAGACAGAUACCCAGACUGUAAAGGGGAUUGUCAGAGGCCAGAGUUUGGUGGGAAACAGAUAGUGGAGUGACCUCCAGGGGAUGGAAAAGGUGGCCUGAGGCCAUUCAUAGGUGCUCCAGGAGAGCUGUGAAUCUGGGUGCUGUGUGGAAGUUGGUCAGGUCUCGCUUCGCUGCCAGGUGGUGGAUUGGACAGAAACCUCCCGCUCUAAGUGUCUUUAUGAUGUAGUAAUUAUAUGUACCUGUGCUGUCUUUAAAUAGUUUUUUCCUUGAAUGUUCGAAUGUAUCCUCCACACACACGGCUUUGUGGUUCCUGGAUGUUUAAUGUGUUGUCAAGUGUUUUUGUUAGAUGAUGUGUACCAGUGUGAGGAGGCUUGCAAGACAGGGUUAUGAAUUUUCAGGGCUCAGCCUGCUAAACAGCCCUGCCUUGUUGAGCCAGUUCCACCACCGCCAAUACAAGAGGGAAAGGACAGGAAAUUGUGACAGGGGCAGGGAGAGAAGGAUUUGCACUGAAGUGAAGAGAGUGGUGUCCCCUCAUUAACCCUUUGAAAUGGUGACAUCCCUCACAUAGAGGAUUAUAAGCAGGACGGACAGUAUUACACUGUGCUCUCUCCUCCCCUGCAGCGGUGGUUAGUGCUCACCAUCCCUGCAUUAAGUAACAGCAGCGGUGGGGAGAUCUUCUAAUGCUGUGAAGAAAACUUUUUUUAAAGAAAAAGGAAAUAGUCUUGCUCUCGCUUCCUUCUUUUAAGUAACAUUCUUGGCUAUCGUUUAAUUUACCUGCCUCAAGAAACAUCCUCCAUUCGGGGUCUGUAAUUCACCCAUGCUGUGGGGGUUUUGCCAGCCUCUCAAACCCCCCACAACUGAGGGUUCUUGUGUUAUUUGCAUAGCUGAGCAAUGCCCAGGGGAAGCACAUGAUGAGCCAUCAAGGACUUCUCAGACUUUCUUGUCCUCAGACUUUUUGAUAAUCUCAGGUGGCCUAUUUCCCUUUUCUGUUCAUGGAAAGCUCAGACCCAGAACAGCAGGUCCGGUGGUUUGACAGAGCUGAGUAGGAAAAGUCUUGACCUCUUGCUCAGUGCCUCUCUUUAUUUUGAAAACCACCGUAGUCUGACUCUCAGUUACCCUGGAGGAGAGAGAGAGAGAGUGUGUGUGUGCAUACACAGAUACACGCACACCUGUGCAAAAAUACUUUAAAAAGUAAUGUUUUGGUGCAUGGGGUAGAAGCCCCAGGAGCACGCAACUUUUGAGCUGUAAUCUGGAGGGUUACCUGGUGAAUAGGAAGGAGAGAGACUUCAACCCUUUCUUGAUUUUAGAAACACUUAGGAGUAGUAUAUACUAUAGUAGACCUGUAGUACUGUAUUAUAGUAAUAAUCAUCUCUCCUCAUUUUGGUUGCCUUUCAGAGUCUUAAUGUUUGGGAUCAUUCUUAGCACCCUAGCUUCUUCAGGCUCUUGAGGUAGCAUUUUCCUGGUUCUGUACCUGUAUCCCACCCCUAUGUCAUCUGGGAACUACAAAGAGCUCCAAGGACAGCCUUGAGAAUGAAAGCCCAGGCUCUGAGGUCCCCUCUUGCUCAAGGGCCCCAAACAGAGACUUUUGGAUAGACCUGAAGUUUCUCAGACAUAGCCACUCACGAAAAUCUUCAUCUGUUCCAUCUGAGGAUUUCAGUUUUAAAGUGAUCUAGGCAUGUUUGGUAGAGAAGUUUCUGUGGGAGUUUUUUUCUUUUACGAAAGCAUUAUGCAAAGAGGGUCACUUUUUAAGGGCAUUUUAAAACUUUUAAAUAAAGCCAUUCUUUGGCUCUUUUUGACAACUAUUUGUGGAUACUUUGUUUACAUUGUGAUAAUUAAAACACACAUCCUCUUGACAGCCGCUCCUCCCUUCCUCCAGGCACGCGGCCCUGGCUGUCCUGAGUCCUCUCACAGAGCAAGGCCUCUGUGGUCAGCCCUGACUCACAGGGGACUUGGGCGGAUGGACCCAGAGCUGACUUCCAUCUGUGUCCUGCACUCCCCUUCAACAUUCUGUGUGGAAUUAGCCCUUUCCUCAGUCAGUGAUGGUGUGUCUUACAGUGAUGGUUGUAACGGUGAAUGGCUAGUGUCCUUUUUGUCUCAGUUUGUUUUGCUUUUUGAUGGUAGAUGAAAUUUUAGCUCUUUCAGCACCAGUCCAACUUGACGGUAUCUUGGACUUUGUUUUCCCUCCCAGACUUAAAAGAUCAAGGCAUGUAUUAGGCAUAAAUAUAUUUGCUGCCUCAACUCAUCUGAUACCCAGAUUAGGAAACAGCCUGUCACCAAAGCAGAAAGCUGCACACUCCUAACCCCUGUCCCAGGCCUCUGGGGUCCCUCGAUGCCAUGGAGAGCUAAGGCAAGGUGCUUGUGUACUUUCCCAGCCUGGAAGUGAAGGGUGACAGGCCCUGGCUCCUGCUAUGAAAGAAAACCAGCCUCAUUUUCUCAGUGCCCCAGAGACCUAAGACAGGAUUUCUAAACUGGAAUCAUCGCUCACUGGCUUGAAGAUGCCUCAGGGGGUAUAUGACUAGUGCUGCCCUCUGGGUCCUCACAGGGACACUGGUGGCUUUGUCCUCUGUACAUAUGCAGAGCUAAUACCCAGGGCUUUAUUCAAGCUGAUGACCCAAUCUGGAAACUGGGUAACUGGCCCUGAAAUGAUUCUCCACCAACAGGCCCACAGGGAAUUGUUUGGUUUUUGUGGUUUUUUCGGAUUUUGGUUUGCCUGGCAUAGCUUAAGGUGCCUUUUAUUAUUUUUUUUCUUUCUACUUUAUUUUGUAGGACUUGUUCUAAAUGUAGAAAACAAGUCCAAAAGACUCUCCCACUGACUGUUACCUUUGCCCCAGGCCAGUCCAAACUUUUAUGCUCACAUUUUAUUAAAUAAAGCAGGUGCUCCCUGGAAUCUCUGGGACCUUUUUGAGGCAUUUGAAGCAGAAUAUAAAGAGUGGUCUCAUCUCCUUCCUUAAUCUUCCUGGUGGUUGGGAUGUUCCACUUGUAUCAUAGAUUUUUUUUAUUACUGAUGUGCUCUGCUGUUUUUAAAUGUGAACUUGUGCGCAAAUGUGCAGAUUCAAUGUUCUUGUUACAGAUUAAAUAAAUUUUUAUUUUGAAGAUGAAA